AAAGUCAUCUUCCAAGAAAAUGAAAGCUGAAGGGUUAGCAUGCAGAGUUACUUUAGACCGAGUUAAUCAAAUGAGUCAAUGGUCUAUCUACCCACUUGCUUCAGAUAUCUAUAAUGAUCCCCUUUUGCCUUUCUUAUCAACAAGAGAAGACAGCCUCUCGCUUCCAUGUUCCUUAACAAAGUUACCCCCCCAACAAAGCACUCCGCAUCUUUCUCUGAGUUGACAGACUUAAAGCGUUCCGACUUCCAACACCGAAGGAGUCUGUUUUCUGUAUCUGUGAUGGAUGCUUUCCUUUUCCCGAUCAGAGAGUAUAUAGGUCGGUGAUGAUUUUCUGCUUGAGAAGAUGGUUUUAAUUAGUUGUGUUGACAGAAGAUAGAGAGCACAACUGAACAUACCCAACAAAGGCUUUGUGUUUGAGCUGUUUGUGCUCUCUCUUCUUCUGUCACCAUAAUUUUCUGCUGUUUCAAACGUUAUCAUCCUCCUUGCCUCGGGGUUUUCUGUCAUAUCUCCAUGUUCUGUUAAGGUAAGAUGCAUGAAUACGUGCAGGACAUAUUCCUAUAAUUGGUUGUUCGACCUAGAUAUUUGAUUCUUGCUAUAAGGUUAAACUGCAGUUUGGAUAGUGAGAUAAGAUAAAAUAAUUUUAUAUGAAAGUUAAAUAAAAUAUUAUUAAAAUAUUAUUUUUUAAUAUUAUUAUUGUUUUAGGAUUUGAAAAUGUUAAAUUGUUAAUUAUAUUUUAUGUGAAAAUUUAAGAAAGUUGUAAUGACGAGAUGAGAUAAAACACUAUCGCUAUCCAAACAGGGCCUUAAUUAUCCUGAACUUUGUUCCGAGGUUGGAGAAACGAAGUUGGUUUCAAAACCAUGUCACAAAUUGUACUAUUUUUUUUUUUAUUUUUAAUUUCUUUUAAGUAUGAAAUUCAUGUGUCUCUGAUCUUGGGAGCCUGACGUUUAAAUACUAUGGAAUCUACAUGUAACUAUCUAUAUAUUCUAUUUCUAAAUUCAGAAGUUAUAAUUGAAGGAGAUUCUAAUCCUGUUUUGCUUC
Long non-coding RNA from Carya illinoinensis, 1038 nucleotides. RefSeq lists it as uncharacterized. NCBI's taxonomy places the organism in Eukaryota, Viridiplantae, Streptophyta, Magnoliopsida, Fagales, Juglandaceae. The transcript is spliced from 2 exons. The record is from RefSeq and is a predicted model, not a curated record.